Molecule: ribosomal RNA, 631 nt
Filed under: uncultured Flavobacterium sp.
Lineage: Bacteria; Pseudomonadati; Bacteroidota; Flavobacteriia; Flavobacteriales; Flavobacteriaceae
Description: bacterial SSU rRNA
Rfam family: Bacterial small subunit ribosomal RNA
Source: RNAcentral
UGCAAGUCGAGGGGUAUAGGUUUUCGGACCUAGAGACCGGCGCACGGGUGCGUAACGCGUAUGCAAUCUACCUUUUACAGAGGGAUAGCCCAGAGAAAUUUGGAUUAAUACCUCAUAGUAUUAUGAAGUGGCAUCAUUUUAUAAUUAAAGUACCAACGGUAAAAGAUGAGCAUGCGUCCCAUUAGCUAGAUGGUAAGGUAACGGCUUACCAUGGCGACGAUGGGUAGGGGUCCUGAGAGGGAGAUCCCCCACACUGGUACUGAGACACGGACCAGACUCCUACGGGAGGCAGCAGUGAGGAAUAUUGGUCAAUGGGCGCAAGCCUGAACCAGCCAUGCCGCGUGCAGGAUGAAGGUCCUAUGGAUUGUAAACUGCUUUUAUACGGGAAGAAACACUCCCUCGUGAGGGAAUUUGACGGUACCGUAAGAAUAAGGAUCGGCUAACUCCGUGCCAGCAGCCGCGGUAAUACGGAGGAUCCAAGCGUUAUCCGGAAUCAUUGGGUUUAAAGGGUCCGUAGGCGGUUUUAUAAGUCAGUGGUGAAAUCCAGUCGCUCAACGAUUGAACGGCCAUUGAUACUGUAAGACUUGAAUUAUUAGGAAGUAACUAGAAUAUGUAGUGUAGCGGUGAAAUG